UACGUAGGGUGCGAGCGUUAAUCGGAAUUACUGGGCGUAAAGCGUGCGCAGGCGGUUGGGUAAGACAGGUGUGAAAUCCCCGAGCUUAACUUGGGAACUGCACUUGUGACUGCUCAACUAGAGUAUGUCAGAGGGAGGUGGAAUUCCAAGUGUAGCAGUGAAAUGCGUAGAUAUUUGGAAGAACACCGAUGGCGAAGGCAGCCUCCUGGGAUAAUACUGACGCUCAUGCACGAAAGCGUGGGGAGCAAACAGG
This 253-nucleotide ribosomal RNA is filed under the name Parasutterella secunda. RNAcentral's name for it is "partial 16S ribosomal RNA". It matches the Rfam family "Bacterial small subunit ribosomal RNA", at positions 524 to 776 of the family's 1533-position model. Lineage: Bacteria; Pseudomonadati; Pseudomonadota; Betaproteobacteria; Burkholderiales; Sutterellaceae. The record is from RNAcentral.